Non-coding RNA from Paramuricea clavata, 1057 nucleotides. The record is from the annotation of a GenBank genome assembly. Lineage: Eukaryota; Metazoa; Cnidaria; Anthozoa; Malacalcyonacea; Plexauridae.
CACGCGUUUUGUAUCGCCAAUACAUUUAUUAACAUCUUAUUAAGUAGGUUUUACCGUCGUCGUUGCGUUGUUGUUCGGCAUUACACAGUACUCUGUAAUGAUUUUAAUAAUUUCAUCAAUUUAGAUUGUCCCUAAAGGCCCUGUCACACUAUUGCGUAUCGUACUAGCGUAUGUCAGCGUAUGAAAAAUAUCACUCAUACGCCGGUAUACGCUGACAUACGCUAGGGGUACGUUAGGCAUAGGUUGUAUACGUUUCAAGCACGGUCGCGUACGGUGGCAUACGCUGGCAUACGUCGAGGCAGAGAUUUGUUUUUGAGCAUGUUCAAAAAUUUUGUGCGUAUCGGACGUAUGCUUUAUACGAUAAGCAUACUCUAGGCACACCCUGAAUACGCUAGAGGUACGCCAGAUGUACGGUACUCGUACGCUGGCAUUUCAAAGGAUUUUUGUGCGUAUCAAAAUUAUUUCAUUGAUUUUCAUACACUUCUCAUACGUUUCUCUCAUACGCAAUAGUGUGACAGGGCCUUAAAACGCGGAUCAAACGAGGAUGAGAAGUCACGCCACCUUGGUUAGCUGUACUCAAUAGACAAUACUUUUCCAACACAAUCAUGUAUCAAGUUAAAACAUAGUUGGAACACUCGUGAAACCUUUAUUUUGUUAAUCUAGAGCUUGAAGUCAGUCCCCGUAACAACACGUGACUGCCUCAGACAUCGUUUGACCGGGGUUUAUAAUAAUUACUACACUACUACAGUCAGGGACGCCGGAACGAUAAAAAGACAAAGGGGGGGGGGGGGAAAAAACACACCAAAGGGCACCUCUAUAGACUCCGGUGAAGAUAUAAACCUACAAUUAUGAUGUGUUGACUUGCCAAUGAAAGCAAACGCACUUAAUCAGGUCACAUUCAAGAUCACACCUCAUGAUUUUGCCGAAAAAGCAUCACUGGAAACGUGAUUUAUCAGGUAGUAUUUUACAACUCAAAGGGCACUUCUGCCCCCCUUGCCCCUCCUAGCAAAAGGCAAGAGGGGCAGCUGCCCCCCCCCCCCCCCCCCCCCCCCCCCCC